Molecule: ribosomal RNA, 206 nt
Filed under: uncultured bacterium
Lineage: Bacteria
Description: partial 16S ribosomal RNA
Rfam family: Bacterial small subunit ribosomal RNA
Source: RNAcentral
AGCGUAGACGGCAUGGCAAGCCAGAUGUGAAGGCCCGGGGCUCAACCCCGGGACUGCAUUUGGAACUGUCAGGCUAGAGUGUCGGAGAGGAAAGCGGAAUUCCUAGUGUAGCGGUGAAAUGCGUAGAUAUUAGGAGGAACACCAGUGGCGAAGGCGGCUUUCUGGACGAUGACUGACGUUGAGGCUCGAAAGCGUGGGAGCAAACA